ACGGAGGGUGCAAGCGUUAUCCGGAUUCACUGGGUUUAAAGGGUGCGUAGGAAGGUGUGUAAGUCAGUGGUGAAAUCUUCGAGCUUAACUCGGAAACUGCCGUUGAUACUACAUGUCUUGAAUACCGUGGAGGUGAGCGGAAUAUGUCAUGUAGCGGUGAAAUGCUUAGAUAUGACAUAGAACACCAAUUGCGAAGGCAGCUCACUACACGAAUAUUGACUCUGAGGCACGAAAGCUAGGGGAGCAAACAGGA
Molecule: ribosomal RNA, 253 nt
Filed under: uncultured prokaryote
Description: partial 16S ribosomal RNA
Rfam family: Bacterial small subunit ribosomal RNA
Source: RNAcentral